AAAUGACCUCAAAUCAGGUAAGAAUACCCGCUGAACUUAAGCAUAUCAAUAAGCGGAGGAAAAGAAAAUAACAAUGAUUCCCUUAGUAACGGCGAGUGAAGGGAGAAAAGCUCAAAUUUUAAAUCUGCUAGGUUUUACCUGUCAGAAUUGUAAUUUAAAGAAGCGUUUUCCGCGUCUCGGUUGGCCCAAAUCCUUUGGGAUAAGGUAUCAUGGAGGGUGAGAAUCCCGUUCGGUUGACCUUAUGACGCAUUACGAUACGCUUUCUAAGAGUCGAGUUGUUUGGGAUUGCAGCUCAAAAUGGGAGGUAAAUUUCUCCUAAGGCUAAAUAUCGGCGAGAGACCGAUAGCGAACAAGUACCGUGAGGGAAAGAUGAAAAGAACUUUGAAAAGAGAGUAAAAUAGUACGUGAAAUUGUUGAAAGGGAAACGAUUGAAGUCAGUCGUACCGACGAGAAAUCAGCUUAUCGUGUGUUAACUUGUGGGCGUGCGUGAGUUUCGGCCUCGCUGUUUGCAUGUUUGUGCGCUUUGGGUGUACUUUUUCGUAUGGUUGGCCAACAUCAGUUUCGAUUACUAUAAAAUGACUGGCGGAAUGUAGCUUCGAUUUCGGUUGAAGUGUUAUAGCCUCUGGUAGAUGUGGUGAUUGAGACUGAGGAUUGCAACGAAUAUCCUUUGGGCUAUCCGUCUGGCCUCUGAAAGUUGCUUGGGUGCUGAAAGCUUGCUUAUGGUUAUCUAAGUUAACGGUCAAUAGGUUAGAACGUGAUUACAUUCGUUAAGGAUGUUGGCGUA
This 784-nucleotide ribosomal RNA is filed under the name uncultured Glomeromycotina. RNAcentral's name for it is "eukaryotic LSU rRNA". It matches the Rfam family "Eukaryotic large subunit ribosomal RNA", at positions 1 to 633 of the family's 3401-position model. Lineage: Eukaryota; Fungi; Glomeromycota. The record is from RNAcentral.